Schizosaccharomyces pombe (fission yeast) is the source of this 659-nucleotide non-coding RNA. Lineage: Eukaryota; Fungi; Ascomycota; Schizosaccharomycetes; Schizosaccharomycetales; Schizosaccharomycetaceae. The record is from the annotation of a GenBank genome assembly.
CCCUGCGAAUAACGAAUAUAUGAUGAAUGAACCUUUUUACUAAUGAAUUAUGAAUAACUGAUAAAUGAGAUGGUGUUCGUCAUUGCCCAAGCUUUUGAAAUGAUGUGAAGACGCUAACACUGAGAUGGUAGAACAAAUCUGCGACUAUGGCGCUGAAAAUUCAUUUCCAUUAAAAGAUUGGGGAGCUGAAUACGUAUCAUUAUUUCCAUUUUUCCUUGUAGGCUUUGGACAUGCCUGAUAAGCAUCGUUUAAUGCAGGUAGAAGUGUAUUUAAAUUUUUACAAAAAGAGUUAAUUGCAUCACUAGCUUCUAACAAAUGCUUAUAAUGAUUAUAUACCAAAGAUCUAUGGUCGACAGAAAGCCCUUGAAUCGAAGCAACCAAAGAUUUAUCACGCUGCAAUAAUUCGGCUGGUGUGGCUUUCUCCAUAAAUUUAGAAACGUAAGCAUUUGAAUCGAAAUUUGGAUCUGAGAACUCUGGAUCAACUUUAUCUAAUGCUGUUUCUUCCACUGGCGAAACGGUAUUAGAGCUAGACGGUUUUCGAGUUGUAGAAACAGUUGAAGAUGAGCUAUUUGAACCAGGUAGAUUAUAAAAGUCUCUUAAAGCUUGACGGCGUUUACUUGACAUAUUGUACAAUUUACUUAACGACAGUGCUUAAUAAA